UCCCUGAUAGCUCAGUUGGUAAAGAAUCUGCCUGCAAUGCAGGAGACCCCGGUUCGAUUCCUGGGUCGGGAAG
This 73-nucleotide transfer RNA is filed under the name Haemonchus contortus (barber pole worm). RNAcentral describes it as "tRNA, Cys". It matches the Rfam family "tRNA". Rfam says of the family: Transfer RNA (tRNA) molecules are approximately 80 nucleotides in length. Their secondary structure includes four short double-helical elements and three loops (D, anti-codon, and T loops). Further hydrogen bonds mediate the characteristic L-shaped molecular structure. tRNAs have two regions of fundamental functional importance: the anti-codon, which is responsible for specific mRNA codon recognition, and the 3' end, to which the tRNAs corresponding amino acid is attached (by aminoacyl-tRNA synthetases). tRNAs cope with the degeneracy of the genetic code in two manners: having more than one tRNA (with a specific anti-codon) for a particular amino acid; and 'wobble' base-pairing, i.e. permitting non-standard base-pairing at the 3rd anti-codon position. Lineage: Eukaryota; Metazoa; Nematoda; Chromadorea; Rhabditida; Trichostrongylidae. The record is from RNAcentral.